Long non-coding RNA from Mus musculus (house mouse), 583 nucleotides. RefSeq annotates it as predicted gene, 34259. The transcript is spliced from 3 exons. The record is from RefSeq and is a predicted model, not a curated record. NCBI's taxonomy places the organism in Eukaryota, Metazoa, Chordata, Mammalia, Rodentia, Muridae.
CUUGUGCAAGAGGCAAGAGCACCCUCACGUCUCUCACUACAGAGCCUGCCAGAUGAACAUCUGAGCCACAGCAGACAGCUCACGACAGCUCUCCAAUGGAUGACAUCUGGGAUCAAUGGGACCACUUCCUGUUUCCAUAUUCACAUCAGCAGAAGCUCAGCAACUAUAGCGUCUUCUCGAGGCAUGGAGAGGAAAAAUAAGCCAUGUUCAAACAAGAAUCAGUGCUCAGAAUAGCCAGUUCCCAGAGUUCUCUCUGAAGGUCACCCAUCAGUCCCAGGGAAACCAAGAUGGCUGCUGUCCUCACAAGGGAUGCUACAGUGCCACCCAUGUGUGCACACUGCACACUGACUACAUUUGGAACUGGAGGGACAGACCUGCUGGACUUUCUAACUGCAGUUGAUCACCUUCACAUGCUAAAAUAACCCGAGGUGAUCAAAGUCAAAAGUGGUGUGUUAUUGUUGGCUCUCCAUUUCAGAGUUUUCAGUCCAUGGUUGCUUGGUCCGGUUACCUUGGGCUUAUAGGGAAAUAGUUCCUCUUGGUGAGAGCGCAAGGUCAGGAGGACUAUUCAUUGUAUGGUGAGCAG